RNAcentral lists this ribosomal RNA (446 nucleotides) under uncultured bacterium. RNAcentral describes it as "partial 16S ribosomal RNA". It matches the Rfam family "Bacterial small subunit ribosomal RNA", at positions 338 to 795 of the family's 1533-position model. The record is from RNAcentral.
CCUACGGGUGGCAGCAGUCGAGAAUUAUUCACAAUGGGGGAAACCCUGAUGGUGCGACGCCGCGUGGGGGAAUGAAGGUCUUCGGAUUGUAAACCCCUGUCAUGUGGGAGCAAAUUAAAAAGAUAGUACCACAAGAGGAAGAGACGGCUAACUCUGUGCCAGCAGCCGCGGUAAUACAGAGGUCUCAAGCGUUGUUCGGAAUCACUGGGCGUAAAGCGUGCGUAGGCUGUUUCGUAAGUCGUGUGUGAAAGGCGCGGGCUCAACCCGCGGACGGCACAUGAUACUGCGAGACUAGAGUAAGGGAGGGGGAACCGGAAUUCUCGGUGUAGCAGUGAAAUGCGUAGACAUCGAGAGGAACACUCGUGGCGAAGGCGGGUUCCUGGACAGUAACUGACGCUGAGGCACGAAGGCCAGGGGAGCGAAAGGGAUUAGAUACCCCAGUAGUC